RNAcentral lists this ribosomal RNA (473 nucleotides) under bacterium. RNAcentral describes it as "bacterial SSU rRNA". It matches the Rfam family "Bacterial small subunit ribosomal RNA", at positions 916 to 1379 of the family's 1533-position model. The record is from RNAcentral.
GGGGCCCGCACAAGGCGGGUGGAGCAUGUGGUUUUAAUUUCGAUGCAAACGCGAAGAACCUUACCUACUCUUGACAUCCAGAGAACUUAGCAGAGAUGCUUUGAUGCCUUCGGGAAACUCUGAAGACAAGGUGCUGCAUGGCUGUCGUCAGCUCGUGUUGUGAAAUGUUGGGUUAAGUCCCGCAACGAGCGCAACCCUUUAUCCUUUGUUGCCAGCGAUUCGGUCGGGAACUCAAAGGAGACUGCCAGUGAUAAACUGGAGGAAGGUGGGGAUGACGUCAAGUCAUCAUGGCCCUUACGAGUAGGGCUACACACGUGCUACAAUGGCAUAUACAAAGAGAAGCGACCUCGCGAGAGCAAGCGGACCUCAUAAAGUAUGUCGUAGUCCGGAUUGGAGUCUGCAACUCGACUCCAUGAAGUCGGAAUCGCUAGUAAUCGUAGAUCAGAAUGCUACGGUGAAUACGUUUCCCGGGC